Molecule: non-coding RNA, 30 nt
Filed under: Rattus norvegicus (Norway rat)
Lineage: Eukaryota; Metazoa; Chordata; Mammalia; Rodentia; Muridae
Source: RNAcentral
UAUUCAUACUGCGUGGCGUUUCCUACCCUC